This 406-nucleotide ribosomal RNA is filed under the name uncultured bacterium. RNAcentral's name for it is "partial 16S ribosomal RNA". It matches the Rfam family "Bacterial small subunit ribosomal RNA", at positions 29 to 526 of the family's 1533-position model. The record is from RNAcentral.
AUUGAACGCUGGCGGCAGGCCUAACACAUGCAAGUCGAACGAGUGGCGGACGGGUGAGUAAUGUCAGGGCACCUGCCCGAUGGAGGGGGAUAACUACUGGAAACGGUAGCUAAGACCGCAUACCCUCGGAUGUGCCCAGAUGGGAUUAGCUUGUAGGUUAGGUAACGGCUAACCAGGGCGACGAUCCCUAGCUGGUCUGAGAGGAUGACCAGCCACACUGGAACUGAGACACGGUCCAGACUCCUACGGGAGGCAGCAGUGGGGAAUAUUGGACAAUGGGCGCAAGCCUGAUGCAGCCAUGCCGCGUGUAUGAAGAAGGCCUGCGGGUUGUAAAGUACGUUCAGCGGGGAGGCGUUACCCGCAGAAGAAGCACCGGCUAACUCCGUGCCAGCCGCCGCGGUAAUAC